RNAcentral lists this non-coding RNA (128 nucleotides) under Coriobacteriaceae bacterium CHKCI002. Its description in RNAcentral is "TPP riboswitch aptamer (THI element)". It matches the Rfam family "TPP riboswitch aptamer (THI element)". Rfam says of the family: Vitamin B(1) in its active form thiamin pyrophosphate (TPP) is an essential coenzyme that is synthesised by coupling of pyrimidine and thiazole moieties in bacteria. The previously detected thiamin-regulatory element, thi box was extended, resulting in a new, highly conserved RNA secondary structure, the THI element, which is widely distributed in eubacteria and also occurs in some archaea. RNAcentral also lists the same sequence under 1 other name. Lineage: Bacteria; Bacillati; Actinomycetota; Coriobacteriia; Coriobacteriales; Coriobacteriaceae. The record is from Rfam by way of RNAcentral.
ACUUCAUAUCCGGGGAGCUCGCUGUUCGCUGCGGCGACGGGCGGGCUGAGAGGAAGCGCCGGUGUACGCUUCGACCCGACGAACCUGACAUGGGUAAUGCCAACGAAGGGAGUUUUAUGACGCAGAUC